UUUCCUAAGGCCAGCGAGAGAACUAUUGUUAAGGAACUCGGCAAAAUGACCCCGUAACUUAGGGAGAAGGGGUGCCUGUCUAUGACAGGCCGCAGAGAAUAGGCCCAAGCGACUGUUUACCAAAAACACAGGUUUCUGCUAAGUCGCAAGACGAUGUAUAGGAGCUGACGCCUGCCCGGUGCUGGAAGGUUAAGGGGAUCUGUUAGAGCAAUCGAAGCAGUGAACUUAAGCCCCAGUAAACGGCGGCCGUAACUAUAACGGUCCUAAGGUAGCGAAAUUCCUUGUCGGGUAAGUUCCGACCCGCACGAAAGGCGUAACGAUUUGGGCACUGUCUCAACAAUAGACUCGGUGAAAUUGUAAUCCCGGUGAAGAUGCCGGGUACCUGCGACAGGACGGAAAGACCCCAUGGAGCUUUACUGUAGCUUGACGUUGGGUCUUGGUACUACAUGUACAGGAUAGGUGGGAGACUAUGAAGCAUGGACGCCAGUCUGUGUGGAGUCAUCCUUGGGAUACCACCCUUGUAGUACUGGGAUCCUAACCAUAGGCCUUGAAUCAGGUCUUGGAACACCGUCAGGUGGGCAGUUUGACUGGGGCGGUCGCCUCCUAAAAAGUAACGGAGGCGCUCAAAGGUUUCCUCAGCACGGUCGGAAAUCGUGCGAAGAGUGUAAAGGCAAAAGGAAGCUUGAUUGCAAGACAUACAGGUCGAGCAAGGACGAAAGUCGGACUUAGUGAUCCGGUGGUACCGCAUGGAAGGGCCAUCGCUCAACGGAUAAAAGCUACCCUGGGGAUAACAGGCUUAUCUCCCCCAAGAGUCCACAUCGACGGGGAGGUUUGGCACCUCGAUGUCGGCUCAUCACAUCCUGGGGCUGUAGUAGGUCCCAAGGGUUGGGCUGUUCGCCCAUUAAAGUGGUACGCGAGCUGGGUUCAGAACGUCGUGAGACAGUUCGGUCCCUAUCCGUCGCAGGCGUGGGAAAUUUGAGAAGACCUGUCCUUAGUACGAGAGGACCGGGAUGGACGUACCUCUGGUGUACCAGUUGUUCUGCCAAGGGCAUGGCUGGGUAGCUAUGUACGGAAUGGAUAAGCGCUGAAAGCAUCUAAGCGCGAAGCCAACUUCAAGAUAAGAUUUCCCACCGUAAGGGUAAGACCCCAGGAAGACUACCUGGUUGAUAGGUCGAAGGUGUAAGUGCAGUAAUGUAUUUAGCUUAUCGAUACUAAUAGGUCGAGGACUUGACC
Molecule: ribosomal RNA, 1233 nt
Filed under: metagenome
Description: bacterial LSU rRNA
Rfam family: Bacterial large subunit ribosomal RNA
Source: RNAcentral